UACGUAGGUGGCAAGCGUUAUCCGGAUUUACUGGGUGUAAAGGGCGUGUAGGCGGGACUGCAAGUCAGAUGUGAAAACCAUGGGCUCAACCCAUGGCCUGCAUUUGAAACUGUAGUUCUUGAGUGUUGGAGAGGCAGGCGGAAUUCCGUGUGUAGCGGUGAAAUGCGUAGAUAUACGGAGGAACACCAGUGGCGAAGGCGGCCUGCUGGACAAUAACUGACGCUGAGGCGCGAAAGCGUG
Molecule: ribosomal RNA, 240 nt
Filed under: uncultured bacterium
Lineage: Bacteria
Description: partial 16S ribosomal RNA
Rfam family: Bacterial small subunit ribosomal RNA
Source: RNAcentral